CUUCUGGGCUGUGAGCUACGUGGGGCAUGGGCCAGAUUUGUCUUGGCCCCCUGCUGCCCCCACUGGGUAGCCUCCCUGCCUGGCACCCAGGGCCCCCAAGUGCAUGGUACCCUUCCCAGCGUAGUCCUGGUCCUCUCUGACCUCAGGAUCUUCACUGUUGAAUGGGCAUAAGAAUCCUUGCCCUCUCUGCCUUGCAAGGGAAGAGCCAGGGAGCAGUCACAAGAGGAAAGCAUUUUGCAAACUCGGCAGCGCUGGGGACCAGGCUACAGUGGGCUUCACCUCUCGUUUGCACGUGCAGUGCUGGCUCUGAAGAAACAAGCUGCAUGAAUCCUACAGCUGUAAAGAAAUGACCAAUAACCUGAGGAGCUUGAAAGUAGAUCCUUCCCCAGUCAAGCCCCUGAUGAGAAGCCAGCCCCAGCCAGCAGAAUUGGAACCCGCUAAGCAGAGGCUCCAGCUAAGCUGUGCCCAGACUCCUGGCCCACA
Long non-coding RNA from Manis pentadactyla (Chinese pangolin), 483 nucleotides. RefSeq lists it as uncharacterized. NCBI's taxonomy places the organism in Eukaryota, Metazoa, Chordata, Mammalia, Pholidota, Manidae. The record is from RefSeq and is a predicted model, not a curated record. The transcript is spliced from 3 exons.